This 497-nucleotide ribosomal RNA is filed under the name uncultured bacterium. RNAcentral's name for it is "partial 16S ribosomal RNA". It matches the Rfam family "Bacterial small subunit ribosomal RNA", at positions 28 to 507 of the family's 1533-position model. The record is from RNAcentral.
GACGAACGCUGGCGGCGUGCCUAAUACAUGCAAGUUGAGCGCUGAAGGUUGGUACUUGUACCAACUGGAUGAGCAGCGAACGGGUGAGUAACGCGUGGGGAAUCUGCCUUUGAGCGGGGGACAACAUUUGGAAACGAAUGCUAAUACCGCAUAAAAACUUUAAACACAAGUUUUAAGUUUGAAAGAUGCAAUUGCAUCACUCAAAGAUGAUCCCGCGUUGUAUUAGCUAGUUGGUGAGGUAAAGGCUCACCAAGGCGAUGAUACAUAGCCGACCUGAGAGGGUGAUCGGCCACAUUGGGACUGAGAAACGGCACAAACUCCUACGGGAGGCAGCAGUAGGGAGUCUUCGGCAAUGGACGAAAGUCUGACCGAGCAACGCCGCGUGAGUGAAGAAGGUUUUCGGAUCGUAAAACUCUGUUGGUAGAGAAGAACGUUGGUGAGAGUGGAAAGCUCAUCAAGUGACGGUAACUACCCAGAAAGGGACGGCUAACUACGUG